GACGAACGCUGGCGGCGUGCUUAACACAUGCAAGUCGAACGGUAAGGCCCUUCGGGGUACACGAGUGGCGAACGGGUGAGUAACACGUGGGUGAUCUGCCCUGCACUUCGGGAUAAGCCUGGGAAACUGGGUCUAAUACCGGAUAGGACCACUGCCUGCAUGGGUGGUGGUGGAAAGCUUUUGCGGUGUGGGAUGGGCCCGCGGCCUAUCAGCUUGUUGGUGGGGGGAUGGCCUACCAAGGCGACGACGGGUAGCCGGGCUGAGAGGGUGACCGGCCACACUGGGACUGAGAUACGGCCCAGACUCCUACGGGAGGCAGCAGUGGGGAAUAUUGCACAAUGGGCGCAAGCCUGAUGCAGCGACGCCGCGUGAGGGAUGACGGCCUUCGGGUUGUAAACCUCUUUCAGCACCGACGAAGCGCAAGUGACGGUAGGUGUAGAAGAAGGACCGGCCAACUACGUGCCAGCAGCCGCAGUAA
This 478-nucleotide ribosomal RNA is filed under the name uncultured bacterium. RNAcentral's name for it is "partial 16S ribosomal RNA". It matches the Rfam family "Bacterial small subunit ribosomal RNA", at positions 28 to 523 of the family's 1533-position model. The record is from RNAcentral.